ACGGUGGAUGAUGGUGUGCGAGUGGCUCGCGUGGAGGUAGUGAAGGCCCCUGGCGGCCCCGAUGCAGAUCUCCAGCCUCUGCUUCCAAGAAAGACACGGCUUAUCGGAGCCGUACAAGUAAGUCCUGAGCGGUCCCUUCCCCAUGUACUCGUAGACUAAUAUUUUUUCCGAUUGCUCCUCGCAGUACCCGAUCAGUGAGACCAGAUGCCGGUGGCGGAUCUUGGACAGGAUGAGGAUCUCAGUCUGGAAUUCCGGGUAUCCUUGUUUUGACCCCGGCAUGGCUCGUUUCACC
This 292-nucleotide long non-coding RNA is filed under the name Musa acuminata (dwarf banana). RNAcentral describes it as "long non-coding RNA (MACU_LNC004443)". The record is from RNAcentral. Lineage: Eukaryota; Viridiplantae; Streptophyta; Magnoliopsida; Zingiberales; Musaceae.